UUGCGGUUAAAACGCUCGUAGUUGAACAUUUGUUCAGUAUUGUCGGUCUACCCCAGAGGUCAGCACCUUGGCACAUCCUGGACUACUUCUGGAGACUGUGUUCACACUUCACUGUGUGAGACGUGAUCCAAACUUUUACUUUGAGGAAAUCAGAGUGUUUCUAGCAGGUGUCUGUCAUGAAUACGUUAGCAUGGAAUAACUAGAUGAGGUGUUGGUCUAGAGCGGUUGGUUUUGGCCAUUGUAACGAAAACAUGGAUAGUUGGGGGUAUUCGUAUUUAACUGUCAGAGGUGAAAUUCUUGGAUUUUUUAAAGACGGACUACUGCGAAGGCAUCUACCCAGGAUGUUUUUCUUGAUCAAGAACGAAAGUUAGGGGAUCGAAGACGAUCAGAUACCGUCCUAGUCUUAACC
RNAcentral lists this ribosomal RNA (409 nucleotides) under uncultured marine eukaryote. RNAcentral's name for it is "bacterial SSU rRNA". It matches the Rfam family "Eukaryotic small subunit ribosomal RNA", at positions 613 to 1031 of the family's 1831-position model. The record is from RNAcentral.